RNAcentral lists this ribosomal RNA (257 nucleotides) under Betaproteobacteria bacterium SCN2. Its description in RNAcentral is "partial 16S ribosomal RNA". It matches the Rfam family "Bacterial small subunit ribosomal RNA", at positions 1281 to 1533 of the family's 1533-position model. Lineage: Bacteria; Pseudomonadati; Pseudomonadota; Betaproteobacteria. The record is from RNAcentral.
GCCGAUCGUAGUCCGGAUUGUUCUCUGCAACUCGAGAGCAUGAAGUCGGAAUCGCUAGUAAUCGCGGAUCAGCAUGUCGCGGUGAAUACGUUCCCGGGUCUUGUACACACCGCCCGUCACACCAUGGGAGUGGAAUCUGCCAGAAGUAGGUAGCCUAACCGCAAGGAGGGCGCUUACCACGGUGGGUUUCAUGACUGGGGUGAAGUCGUAACAAGGUAGCCGUAGGGGAACCUGCGGCUGGAUCACCUCCUUUCUAG